AACGAACGCUGGCGGCAUGCCUAACACAUGCAAGUCGAACGAGACCUUCGGGUCUAGUGGCGCACGGGUGCGUAACGCGUGGGAAUCUGCCCUUCGGUUGGGAAUAACUGAGAGAAAUUUCAGCUAAUACCUUAUAAUGUCUUCGGACCAAAGAUUUAUCGCCGAGGGAUGAGCCCGCGUAGGAUUAGGUAGUUGGUGGGGUAAUGGCCUACCAAGCCGACGAUCCUUAGCUGGUCUGAGAGGAUGAUCAGCCACACUGGGACUGAGACACGGCCCAGACUCCUACGGGAGGCAGCAGUGGGGAAUAUUGGACAAUGGGCGAAAGCCUGAUCCAGCAAUGCCGCGUGAGUGAUGAAGGCCUUAGGGUUGUAAAGCUCUUUUACCCGGGAUGAUAAUGACAGUACCGGGAGAAUAAGCUCCGGCUAACUCCGUG
RNAcentral lists this ribosomal RNA (433 nucleotides) under uncultured bacterium. RNAcentral's name for it is "partial 16S ribosomal RNA". It matches the Rfam family "Bacterial small subunit ribosomal RNA", at positions 29 to 507 of the family's 1533-position model. The record is from RNAcentral.